This 1530-nucleotide unclassified non-coding RNA is filed under the name Limulus polyphemus (Atlantic horseshoe crab). RNAcentral describes it as "protein kinase DC2-like, transcript variant X1". The record is from RNAcentral. Lineage: Eukaryota; Metazoa; Arthropoda; Merostomata; Xiphosura; Limulidae.
GGGGCGUCUUGAAAGGUUUGAUUAAUGCUGCGGUUUAGUAAAUACAUCUAAAUUUCUUUUUACUGUGUUACACUAUAGACUGCUAAGUUGUAGAAGUGUUUUUCAAGCUGUUCAACUUGUUUUCAAGCUGUGUACAUGAGACAUUCAGUUGUCUUCUUUGGGUCAUGGUACCUUCAUAACUGCCUGUUAAAAAACCCAUGACAACAGUCUUUUUCAUAUUCUUACGAUAGCAAAUUGUACAAUUCUGAACCCUCUACUCUCAGUAUCGUAAGAAGUAUAUUAUAUGUAGAUUUUUGGUUAAAAACACUCUGCCGUGAAAUUAUUUUCCAUGGCUUCAAGCAAAGACAAAGUUCUCCGUGAAAAGCUGAAGAGAUCGGGGUCGCUGAUGAUGAAAGACCCUCCAGCGAUUACUGCUGUCAACGGAGACAGAGUGUUUCAGCUCAAGGAACUCAACAUUAUUAAAACAAUAGGCACAGGGACGUUUGGACGAGUGUGUCUAUGUAGAGACAAAGUGACCACCAACUACUAUGCCAUGAAAAUCUUACAGAUGGCUGACGUCAUCAGACUAAAGCAAAUAGAACACGUAAAGAACGAAAAAACAAUUCUUCAGCAAAUUAAACACCCCUUUAUCAUUGAAUUAACGUGGACAACACACGACGAUACCUCACUCUAUAUGUUGUUCGAAUAUGUGUGUGGUGGCGAGCUGUUCACAUACCUCAGAAAUUCCGGCCGCUUCAAUAGCACUACAGGAAAUUACUACGCUGCGGAAAUAGUGCUUGUUCUGGAGUACCUCCAUAAGCAACAGAUUGUUUACCGGGAUUUAAAACCCGAGAAUUUACUAUUAGACAAAGAUGGCCAUUUGAAGCUGACCGAUUUUGGAUUCGCUAAAAUUCUGACCGAUAGAACAUGGACACUGUGUGGGACGCCGGAAUAUUUAGCGCCAGAAAUUAUCCAGAGUAAAGGCCACAAUAGGGCUGUGGAUUGGUGGGCUUUAGGAAUUCUUAUAUAUGAAAUGCUAGCCGGGUAUCCACCUUUCUUUGACGAGAAUCCGUUCGCUAUAUACGAGAAGAUUUUAGUUGGCAAGAUUGAAUGGCCACGACAUGUUGAUCCAGUUGCUAAAGACUUAAUUAAAAAGUUGUUGGUUCAAGAUCGAACAAAGAGACUGGGCAAUAUGAAGAAUGAAGCUGAAGACGUUAAAAGACAUAGAUGGUUUAAAGGAAUCGUAUGGGAUGAUGUUUUAAACAAACGUGUCAAGCCUCCUAUCAUUCCCAGUGUCAGCCAUAAUGGGGAUACUCGUUACUUUGACCGGUUUUCCGACAAAAAGUGGAAAAACAUUAAGGAAAAAAUAGAAGAAGAGGAGUUGGCUUACUUCAAAGAUUUUUGACAAAUUCUUGUAGUUGAAUGAAUGGAAUACAUAUUGUCCAAAGCAGGAAUUAUAGGACGUUGACAAAAGUCUGAUGGAAGACUAAUAAAAAUCAACCGUUAUGACGCUCCUCGAUAUGAAAAUUGUCGUGGUAAUGUUUUUUUUUU